RNAcentral lists this ribosomal RNA (253 nucleotides) under uncultured bacterium. RNAcentral describes it as "partial 16S ribosomal RNA". It matches the Rfam family "Bacterial small subunit ribosomal RNA", at positions 524 to 776 of the family's 1533-position model. The record is from RNAcentral.
UACGAAGGGGGCGAGCGUUGUUCGGAUUUACUGGGCGUAAAGGGCGCGUAGGCGGCCUUGUCAGUCAGGCGUGAAAGCCCCGGGCUCAACCUGGGAACGGCGCUUGGGACGGCGAGGCUGGAGUUCGGGAGAGGAGAGUGGAAUUCCCAGUGUAGAGGUGAAAUUCGUAGAUAUUGGGAAGAACACCGGUGGCGAAGGCGGGUCUCUGGGCAACAACUGACGCUGAGGAGCGAAAGCAUGGGGAGCGAACAGG